UCGGACGGGGUGAGUAACGCGUGAGAAUCUAGCUUCAGGUCGGGGACAACCACUGGAAACGGUGGCUAAUACCGGAUAUGCCGAGAGGUGAAAGGCUUGCUGCCUGAAGAUGAGCUCGCGUCUGAUUAGCUAGUAGGUGUGGUAAAAGCGCACCUAGGCGACGAUCAGUAGCUGGUCUGAGAGGAUGAUCAGCCACACUGGGACUGAGACACGGCCAAGAACUCCUACGGGAGGCAGCAUGGGGAAUUUUCCGCAAUGGGCGAAAGCCUGACGGAGCAAUACCGCGUGAGGGAGGAAGGCUCUUGGGUUGUAAACCUCUUUUCUCAGGGAAGAAAAAAAUGACGGUACCUGAGGAAUAAGCAUCGGCUAACUCCGUGCCAGCAGCCGCGGUAAUACGGAGGAUGCAAGCGUUAUCCGGAAUGAUUGGGCGUAAAGGGUCCGCUGGUGGCUAUGUAAGGGUGCUGUUAAAGAACCUAGCUUAACUAGGUAAAAGCAGUGGAAACUACAAGGCUAGAGUGCGUUCGGGGUAGAGGGAAUUCCUGGUGUAGCGGUGAAAUGCGUAGAUAUCGGAAGAACACCAGUGGCGAACGCGCUCUACUACGGCCGCAACUGACACUGAUGGACGACAGCUACGGGAGCGAAUGGGAUUACGAUACCCCAGUAGUCCACGCGUUUCUUCCCCCGU
RNAcentral lists this ribosomal RNA (685 nucleotides) under Nodularia spumigena PUPCCC 420.5/1. Its description in RNAcentral is "bacterial SSU rRNA". It matches the Rfam family "Bacterial small subunit ribosomal RNA", at positions 98 to 814 of the family's 1533-position model. The record is from RNAcentral. Lineage: Bacteria; Bacillati; Cyanobacteriota; Cyanophyceae; Nostocales; Nodulariaceae.